Molecule: ribosomal RNA, 1221 nt
Filed under: uncultured organism
Description: bacterial SSU rRNA
Rfam family: Bacterial small subunit ribosomal RNA
Source: RNAcentral
CGAACGGUAUGAAGAAGCUUGCUUCUUCAGAGAGUGGCGAACGGGUGAGUAACACGUAGGUGAUCUACCGCAGGUGUUGGGGAUAGCCCGUGGAAACAUGGGGUAAUACCGAAUACGCUCAUUUGGCUGUGGCCGGAUGAGGAAAGGCGCUUCGGCGUCGCCCUGCGAUGAGCCUGCGCCCCAUUAGCUAGUUGGUAGGGUAACGGCCUACCAAGGCGACGAUGGGUAGCCGGCUUGAGAGGGUGAUCGGCCACACUGGGACUGAGAUACGGCCCAGACUCCUACGGGAGGCAGCAGCUAAGAAUCUUCCGCAAUGGACGAAAGUCUGACGGAGCGACGCCGCGUGGGUGAAGAAGGCCGGAAGGUUGUAAAGCCCUUUUCUCGUUGAGGAAUAAGCGCAGGAGGGAAUGCCUGUGCGAUGACGGUAGGCGAGGAAUAAGUCCCGGCCAAUUACGUGCCAGCAGCCGCGGUAACACGUAUGGGACGAGCGUUGUUCGGAAUCAUUGGGCGUAAAGGGCGCGUAGGCGGCGAGGUAAGCCUGGUGUGAAAGACCGCAGCUUAACUGCGGAACCGCGCUAGGAACUGCAUUGUUUGAGUCCAGGAGGGGGAGCUGGAAUUCCAGGUGUAGGGGUGAAAUCAGAAGAUAUCUGGAAGGACACCCGGCGGCGAAGGCGAGCCUCCCUGCCCAUGAACUGACCGCUGAGGCCCGAAAGCUUGGGGAGCGAACAGGAUUAGGUACCCCUGGGUGUCCACGCUGUAACCGAUUGUGCCCUAGGUGUUGGCACACGAAGGUUCAGUGCCGGAGUCAACGCGUUAAGUGCACCGCCUGGGGAGUAUGCUCGCAGAGGGUGAAACUCAGAGGAAUUGACGGGGUGCCCGCACAAGCGGUGGAGCAUGUGGUUUAAUUCGAUGAUACGCGAGGAAUCUUACCAGGGUUUGACAUAUGCCGGAAUGUGCAGGAGACUGCGCACCCUUUCGGGGCCGGUAUACAGGUGCUGCAUGACUGUCGUCAGCUCGUCCCGUGAGGUGUUGGGUUAAGUCCCGGCAACGAGCGCAACCUCUACUGUCUGUUGCCAGCAUUCAUUUGGGGACUCAGCCGGAACUGCCGGUGACAAACCGGAGGAAGUUGGGGACGACGUCAGGUCAUCAUGGCCCUUAUAUCCUGGGCUACACACGUGCUACAAUGGUCGGUACAGAGCGAAGCAACACCGCGAGGUAGAG